RNAcentral lists this unclassified non-coding RNA (324 nucleotides) under Hevea brasiliensis (rubber tree). The record is from RNAcentral. Lineage: Eukaryota; Viridiplantae; Streptophyta; Magnoliopsida; Malpighiales; Euphorbiaceae.
GAGCAUUGCAGGGAUGUGUCACAUUUAGUUGAAAUUCUGGGCAUCUAAGCAAUUCCUUGUUAAAUUAUUAUCUAACCUUUUAUCUUUUACCCCUUUUUGGGAGAAGUUACAAGUGAUGCAUUAACAAAAAAGUGCCUAGUGAGCCAUAAAAUUGCUAUCCACACAAUUAAGUAUACCCCCCAUGAAAAGGCCAUAUUACACUUUUCUUUUCAAUAAAAUAAAAGCAAUAGAUGUACAAUUUUAAUGUUAAAAAUGGAAAGAAACAUCAAAUUGGCAUACAGUUUAAAGUAAACUCAAUUUUCACAUCUCCAAAACAAAACUUUA